This 465-nucleotide ribosomal RNA is filed under the name uncultured bacterium. RNAcentral describes it as "partial 16S ribosomal RNA". It matches the Rfam family "Bacterial small subunit ribosomal RNA", at positions 28 to 507 of the family's 1533-position model. The record is from RNAcentral.
GACGAACGCUGGCGGCGUGCUUAACACAUGCAAGUCGAACGGAAAGGCCCUGCUUGCAGGGUACUCGAGUGGCGAACGGGUGAGUAACACGUGGGUGAUCUGCCCUGCACUUCGGGAUAAGCCUGGGAAACUGGGUCUAAUACCGGAUAGGAGCCAUUUUUAGUGUGAUGGUUGGAAAGUUUUUUCGGUGUAGGAUGAGCUCGCGGCCUAUCAGCUUGUUGGUGGGGUAAUGGCCUACCAAGGCGGCGACGGGUAGCCGGCCUGAGAGGGUGGACGGCCACAUUGGGACUGAGAUACGGCCCAGACUCCGACGGGAGGCAGCAGGGGGGAAUAUUGCACAAGGGGCGCAAGCCUGAUGCAGCGACGCCGCGUGGGGGAGGACGGCCUUCGGGUUGUAAACUCCUUUCGCUAGGGACGAAGCUUUUUGUGACGGUACCUAGAGAAGAAGCACCGGCUAACUACGUG